This 503-nucleotide long non-coding RNA is filed under the name Equus caballus (horse). RNAcentral's name for it is "lncRNA (ENSECAG00000048927.1)". The record is from RNAcentral. Lineage: Eukaryota; Metazoa; Chordata; Mammalia; Perissodactyla; Equidae.
GCUGUUAGCCCUCUGUAGGGCCUGCGGGAUGGGACAGAGUUUCAUUUUCAUUCAAAAAGAUGUUGCUACAUAUAAAGGAACAAACUCAGUUAUUUCCUCCCAGGGUAGGGAAAACCCAGCCCUUCCUCCUGUGUGUCUCUCCCGUGAGUCUCCUAUACUGCCACACGGAGCAUUUCACUUCUGACACGUCUGGUCACCAAAUGUGUGGGUUUUCCCCACAACAACAGGCAAGUUUCUGACGCCAGCUGGGUGUCCUACAAUUUGUCUCAAUUCUGACACUAUCUACCUGAAGACAAUGUCAGAUCCUACAGGUUGCUUCCGUCUUGGCUGUUGUGAAUAACGCUGCAGUGAACACAGAGGUGCAUGUACCUUUGUGCAUUUGUGUUUUCAUGUUCUUUGGACUGGCCCUGAGCGAACAUCUGUGCCCAUCUUCCUCUACUUUAUACGUGGGACGCCUGACAGUGCAUGGUUUCAUAAGCGGUGCGUAGGUCCGCGCCUGGGGU